Long non-coding RNA from Hipposideros armiger (great roundleaf bat), 389 nucleotides. RefSeq lists it as uncharacterized. Lineage: Eukaryota; Metazoa; Chordata; Mammalia; Chiroptera; Hipposideridae. The transcript is spliced from 3 exons. The record is from RefSeq and is a predicted model, not a curated record.
CAUAGGGCCGCCACGUUGUACGGCAACUGACGUACCGCCCCUCCGUGGGUGGGGAUCCACCUCAGCAAGCCACAACGAUGCCAAGGGUUUUUGUUAAUGAACCACUCUGAUGAAGAAAAGCUAGAGGAGAACAUUUUUUUUUGCUUGGGAAUGAAGAACAGCUAUAUGACAUUCAUUGCUUGGUGCCUGGCUUCAUGAUAUUGUCAAGGUCAUGCCUUUAACAGUAAAGGCUUUGGCUCCUUUUCAGUGGUCCACUGAUGUUUUCUGGCACAGACAAGCAAAUUCAACCCAGGAACUUUAUUGUGGUACCAUACGACUGUAAGUUUCUAAGCACAAUGGAUUUUAUUAGUCCAAAAUAUGCCUACUGGACCACACAGCUCUGAGACCCA